GACGAACGCUGGCGGCAUGCCUAAUACAUGCAAGUCGAGCGAACAGAUGAAGUGCUUGCACUUCUGACGUUAGCGGCGAACGGGUGAGUAACACGUAAGGAAUCUACCUAUAAGCGGGGGAUAACAUUCGGAAACGGGUGCUAAUACCGCAUAAUAUCUUCUUCCGCAUGGAAGAAGAUUGAAAGACGGCUCUGCUGUCACUUAUAGAUGACCUUGCGGUGCAUUAGUUAGUUGGUGGGGUAACGGCCUACCAAGACGAUGAUGCAUAGCCGCACUGAGAGGGUGAUCGGCCAAAUUGGGACUGAGACACGGCCCAAACUCCUACGGGAGGCAGAAGUAGGGAAUCUUCCGCAAUGGGCGAAAGCCUGACGGAGCAAUGCCGCGUGAGUGAAGAAGGCCUUCGGGUCGUAAAACUCUGUUAUAAGAGAAGAACAAAUUGUAGAGUAACUGCUACAGUCUUGACGGUAUCUUAUCAGAAAGCCACGGCUAACUACGUGCCAGCAGCCGCCGUAA
RNAcentral lists this ribosomal RNA (513 nucleotides) under uncultured bacterium. RNAcentral's name for it is "partial 16S ribosomal RNA". It matches the Rfam family "Bacterial small subunit ribosomal RNA", at positions 28 to 523 of the family's 1533-position model. The record is from RNAcentral.